GCGGUGAUGGUGGAAUUGGCAAACACCGGUCAUCUGGAAUGGCCCGGGCCUCGCCCAUACGGGUUCGAUUCCCGCUCGCCGCA
This 83-nucleotide transfer RNA is filed under the name Planctomycetota bacterium. RNAcentral describes it as "tRNA-Pro". It matches the Rfam family "tRNA". From Rfam's summary of the family: Transfer RNA (tRNA) molecules are approximately 80 nucleotides in length. Their secondary structure includes four short double-helical elements and three loops (D, anti-codon, and T loops). Further hydrogen bonds mediate the characteristic L-shaped molecular structure. tRNAs have two regions of fundamental functional importance: the anti-codon, which is responsible for specific mRNA codon recognition, and the 3' end, to which the tRNAs corresponding amino acid is attached (by aminoacyl-tRNA synthetases). tRNAs cope with the degeneracy of the genetic code in two manners: having more than one tRNA (with a specific anti-codon) for a particular amino acid; and 'wobble' base-pairing, i.e. permitting non-standard base-pairing at the 3rd anti-codon position. The record is from RNAcentral. Lineage: Bacteria; Pseudomonadati; Planctomycetota.